This 30-nucleotide non-coding RNA is filed under the name Homo sapiens (human). Lineage: Eukaryota; Metazoa; Chordata; Mammalia; Primates; Hominidae. The record is from RNAcentral.
UAGCCAGUUUAGUCUUUCCAUGUUCUGUCU